AGAUUAAUAGUUUAAAAAAAAAUAUUUAAUUUGCAUUUGAAUGAUAUUAUAAUUAAUUUAAUUUU
Molecule: transfer RNA, 65 nt
Filed under: Snellenius sp. SNS-2016
Lineage: Eukaryota; Metazoa; Arthropoda; Insecta; Hymenoptera; Braconidae
Description: tRNA-Ala
Source: RNAcentral